AUUGAACGCUGGCGGCAGGCUUAACACAUGCAAGUCGAGCGGAAACGAUGAUAGCUUGCUAUCAGGCGUCGAGCGGCGGACGGGUGAGUAAUACUUAGGAAUCUACCUAGUAGUGGGGGAUAGCUCGGGGAAACUCGAAUUAAUACCGCAUACGACCCACGGGAGAAAGGGGGCAACUUGUUGCUCUCGCUAUUAGAUGAGCCUAAGUCGGAUUAGCUAGAUGGUGGGGUAAAGGCCUACCAAGGCAACGAUGCGUAGCCGACCUGAGAGGGUGAUCGGCCACACUGGGACUGAGACACGGCCCAG
RNAcentral lists this ribosomal RNA (306 nucleotides) under uncultured bacterium. RNAcentral describes it as "bacterial SSU rRNA". It matches the Rfam family "Bacterial small subunit ribosomal RNA", at positions 30 to 334 of the family's 1533-position model. The record is from RNAcentral.